This 501-nucleotide ribosomal RNA is filed under the name uncultured bacterium. RNAcentral's name for it is "partial 16S ribosomal RNA". It matches the Rfam family "Bacterial small subunit ribosomal RNA", at positions 28 to 507 of the family's 1533-position model. The record is from RNAcentral.
GACGAACGCUGGCGGCGUGCUUAACACAUGCAAGUCGAACGGUGAAGCACCUUCCUUUUGGUGGGUGUGGAUGAGUGGCGAACGGGUGAGUAACACGUGAGUAACCUGCCCCCUUCUUCUGGAUAACCGCAUGAAAGUGUGGCUAAUACGGGAUAUUCUGUGCCUGCUGCAUGGUGGGUGUGGGAAAGAUGCGCUUUUGGGUGUUUUUGGUGGGGGAUGGGCUCGCGGCCUAUCAGCUUGUUGGUGGGGUGAUGGCCUACCAAGGCGGUGACGGGUAGCCGGACUGAGAGGGUGGACGGUCACACUGGGACUGAGACACGGCCCAGACUCCUACGGGAGGCAGCAGUGGGGAAUAUUGCACAAUGGGCGCAAGCCUGAUGCAGCGACGCCGCGUGAGGGAUGGAGGCCUUCGGGUUGUAAACCUCUUUCGCCAGUGAAGCAGGCCUGUCCCUUGUGGGUGGGUUGACGGUAGCUGGAUAAGAAGCGCCGGCUAACUACGUG